ACAGACUGGAGACAGACCCUGGAGCGUAGACGAGACAGACUGGAGACAGACCCUGGAGCGUAGACGAGACAGACUGGAGACAGACUGGAGACAGACCCUGGAGCGUAGACGAGACAGACUGGAGACAGACCCUGGAGCGUAGACGAGACAGACUGGAGACAGACCCUGGAGCGUAGACGAGACAGACUGGAGACAGACGCUGGAGACAGACUGGAGACAGACCCUGGAGCGUAGACGAGACAGACUGGAGACAGACUGGAGACAGACCCUGGAGCGUAGACGAGACAGACUGGAGACAGACCCUGGAGCGUAGACGAGACAGACUGGAGACAGACCCUGGAGCGUAGACGAGACAGACUGGAGACAGACAUAGCACCUGUUUUUAUUUCUCUGAUGUAUUGCCUGUUGAUUAAAGUCUUUCGUGAUGUAGAUAUGUGUAUUUAUGAACUACCACAGUUGUGUCGAUGGAGGCUGUUCUUCAUGAUGUAAGAUAGCCACGGUGACAUACUGUUUUUGAAGAUACAGCUCGUCUCCAUGUUAAUACUGUGUAUGUAUGUAGCCACAUCGUUUCCAGAUUAAACUACUGUGUGGAGAACCAUCAGUGGUGGGUCUCUAUACUGCCCUCUCUUGGGACAGAUUCAUAGAUCAUACUGUGCCAUUAUAAUUCCCACUGUCGUUGUUAAUCAGAAUGUCUGUCUACAUCCAUGAUAUACCAGUGUUUUAAAUACAAUAACUACCCAGUCAUCAGUUUUUAAGAUCUUUCUAUUUUCUGCAGCAGCUUUUAUUUAGGGUUGUAAUUCUUGAAGAUGUCUGUUUUGCUUUGUGGUGCCCUGCAAACAUAACAUAUUUCUCCUGCACCUCCUUGAGGUUGCGGUUAGUGUCCUUCGGGACGUUUUAAAAUAUAAUUUCCCUCCAACUGGUUUGACCUGUGAUGUUGAGACGUCUCCGCAGCGACCGGACGGAGGGAACAGACACGUUGCAUAUCCUGUUUCUGUGCGUCAGUUGGUUGGUGCUACUAACGUGACCUGGAUACUCUGACUGCUGGACAACAUGACUUCCUGACAGCUUCGUUCAACGGUAAAGACUCAACAAUGUGAUGAUGCAAGACGUGUUGCGUUUAUAUAUAUAUAGGCAACGUAUCCGCAGACCAGGUCAUCUGGACUAGUUAACGUUACAUUGGGUACAACUAGCAGGUUAUACUGAUGUAGGUUAGGAGCAAAUUAGCUGCGCGUCCUGGAAAACAUUUACGAGUUGCAACAGGAACCAGCAACAUUUUUCUUCCUGAACACAGAGGUUGAGAAGACAGCAGGUUUGUGGCUGCGUGUAACAGAACAACCGGAACAGAGCUGAAGAUUAGAUGGACGGGUGUAGCAGCUAAUCAUCUCCACUAUUUCAGGCUGCGUGUAACAGAACAACCGGGACAGAACAGAGCUGAAGAUUAGAUGGACGGGUUUGCAGGUGACAUACUGAGCGGUGGCCGGGCGUUGCUAGGCGAGGACAGCUCGGUCAUGGCCCGCAUGCAGAAGAAGUUUUGGAAGACGAAGCAGGUUCUGAUCAAGGCCACAGGGAAGAAGGAGGAUGAGUACGUGGUGGCUUCUGAUGCCGACCUCGACGCCAAGCUGGAGUUGUUCCACUCGGUACAGACCACCUCCACUGAGCUGUUGAAGGUGAUUGAGAAAUACCAGCGAAGGAUCACACGUGAGUUACCCCUGUUACUACGGUUACCACUUUAUUAAAGACAGACCAGGAAAUAGACAGGAUAAUACUGUUCUAUUCACAGAGAACCCCACUCUCCCUUCUUGUGUGUUCCAGACCUGUCUCAGGAGGGUUAGGUUAUGUUGAGGUUGGGUUAGGUUAUGUUGAGGUUAUGACAUUCCUGGGUCCAGACCUGUCUCAGGAGGGUUAGGUUAUGUUGAGGUUGGGUUAGGUUAUGUUGAGGUUAUGACAUUCCUGGGUCCAGACCUGUCUCAGGAGGGUUAGGUUAUGUUGAGGUUGGGUUAGGUUAUGUUGAGGUUGGGUUAGGUUAUGUUGAGGUUAUGACAUUCCUGGGUCCAGACCUGUCUCAGGAGGGUUAGGUUAUGUUGAGGUUGGGUUAGGUUAUGUUGAGGUUAUGACAUUCCUGGGUCCAGACCUGUCUCAGGAGGGUUAGGUUAUGUUGAGGUUGGGUUAGGUUAUGUUGAGGUUAUGACAUUCCUGGGUCCAGACCUGUCUCAGGAGGGUUAGGUUAUGUUGAGGUUGGGUUAGGUUAUGUUGAGGUUAUGACAUUCCUGUGUUCCAGACCUGUCUCAGGAGGGUUAGGUUAUGUUGAGGUUGGGUUAGGUUAUGUUGAGGUUAUGACAUUCCUGUGUUCCAGACCUGUCUCAGGAGGGUUAGGUUAUGUUGAGGUUGGGUUAGGUUAUGUUGAGGUUAUGACAUUCCUGUGUUCCAGACCUGUCUCAGGAGGGUUAGGUUAUGUUGAGGUUGGGUUAGGUUAUGUUGAGUUUAUGACAUUCCUGGGUCCAGACCUGUCUCAGGAGGGUUAGGUUAUGUUGAGGUUGGGUUAGGUUAUGUUGAGGUUAUGACAUUCCUGUGUUCCUGACCCGUCUCAGGAGGGUUAGGUUAUGUUGAGGUUGGGUUAGGUUAUGUUGAUGUUAUGACAUUCCUGUGUUCCAGACCUGUCUCAGGAGGGUUAGGUUAUGUUGAGGUUGGGUUAGGUUAUGUUGAGGUUAUGACAUUCCUGUGUUCCAGACCUGUCUCAGGAGGGUUAGGUUAUGUUGAGGUUGGGUUAGGUUAUGUUGAGGUUAUGACAUUCCUGUGUUCCAGACCUGUCUCAGGAGGGUUAGGUUAUGUGGAGGUUGGGUUAGGUUAUGUUGAGGUUAUGACAUUCCUGUGUUCCAGACCUGUCUCAGGAGGGUUAGGUUAUGGUGAGGUUGGGUUAGGUUAUGUUGAGGUUAUGACAUUCCUGUGUUCCAGACCUGUCUCAGGAGGGUUAGGUUAUGUUGAGGUUGGGUUAGGUUAUGUUCAGGUUAUGACAUUCCUGUGUUCCAGACCUGUCUCAGGAGGGUUAGGUUAUGGUGAGGUUGGGUUAGGUUAUGUUGAGGUUAUGACAUUCCUGUGGUCCAGACCUGUCUCAGGAGGGUUAGGUUAUGUUGAGGUUGUGACAUUCCUGUGUUCCAGACCUGUCUCAGGAGGGUUAGGUUAUGUUGAGGUUGGGUUAGGUUAUGUUGAGGUUAUGACAUUCCUGUGUUCCAGACCUGUCUCAGGAGGGUUAGGCUAUGUUGAGGUUGGGUUAUGUUGAGGUUAUGACAUUCCUGGGUCCAGACCUAUCUCAGGAGGGUGAGGUUAUGACAUUCCUGGGUCCAGACCUGUCUCAGGAGGGUUAGGUUAUGACAUUCCUGUGUUCCAGACCUGUCUCAUGAGGGUUAGGUUAUGUUGAGGUUAUGACAUUCCUGGGUCCAGACCUGUCUCAGGAGGGUUAGGUUAUGUUGAGGUUGGGUUAGGUUAUGUUGAGGUUAUGACAUUCCUGUGUUCCAGACCUGUCUCAGGAGGGUUAGGCUAUGUUGAGGUUGGGUUAUGUUGAGGUUAUGACAUUCCUGUGUUCCAGACCUGUCUCAGGAGGGUUAGGUUAUGUUGAGGUUAUGACAUUCCUGUGUUCCAGACCUGUCUCAUGAGGGUUAGGUUAUGUUGAGGUUAUGACAUUCCUGGGUCCAGACCUGUCUCAGGAGGGUUAGGUUAUGUUGAGGUUGGGUUAGGUUAUGUUGAGGUUAUGACAUUCCUGUGUUCCAGACCUGUCUCAGGAGGGUUAGGCUAUGUUGAGGUUGGGUUAUGUUGAGGUUAUGACAUUCCUGUGUUCCAGACCUGUCUCAGGAGGGUUAGGCUAUGUUGAGGUUAGGUUAUGUUGAGGUUAUGACAUUCCUGGGUCCAGACCUGUCUCAGGAGGGUUAGGUUAUGUUGAGGUUGGGUUAGGUUAUGUUGAGGUUAUGACAUUCCUGUGUUCCAGACCUGUCUCAGGAGGGUUAGGCUAUGUUGAGGUUGGGUUAGGUUAUGUUGAGGUUAUGACAUUCCUGGGUCCAGACCUGUCUCAGGAGGGUUAGGUUAUGUUGAGGUUGGGUUAGGUUAUGUUGAGGUUAUGACAUUCCUGUGUUCCAGACCUGUCUCAGGAGGGUUAGGCUAUGUUGAGGUUGGGUUAUGUUGAGGUUAUGACAUUCCUGUGUUCCAGACCUGUCUCAGGAGGGUUAGGUUAUGUUGAGGUUGGGUUAGGUUAUGUUGAGGUUAUGACAUUCCUGUGUUCCAGACCUGUCUCAGGAGGGUUAGGUUAUGUUGAGGUUGGGUUAGGUUAUGUUGAGGUUAUGACAUUCCUGUGUUCCAGACCUGUCUCAGGAGGGUUAGGUUAUGGUGAGGUUGGGUUAGGUUAUGUUGAGGUUAUGACAUUCCUGUGUUCCAGACCUGUCUCAGGAGGGUUAUGUUGAGGUUGGGUUAGGUUAUGACAUUCCUGUGUUCCAGACCUGUCUCAGGAGGAGAAUGAGUUGGGGAUGUUUCUGAGGUGCCAGGCAGAACACGACCGCACCAAGGCUGGCAACAUGAUGGAUGCAACUAGCAAGGCCCUGUGUGCCUCGGCCAAGCAGAGGCUGGUCCUGUGCCCGCCCCC
This is an RNA transcript of Oncorhynchus keta (chum salmon), 4627 nucleotides long. It is a transcript of the gene named islet cell autoantigen 1-like protein, with no coding region annotated. NCBI's taxonomy places the organism in Eukaryota, Metazoa, Chordata, Actinopteri, Salmoniformes, Salmonidae. The record is from RefSeq and is a predicted model, not a curated record. The transcript is spliced from 8 exons.